Molecule: ribosomal RNA, 976 nt
Filed under: Paragonimus skrjabini miyazakii
Lineage: Eukaryota; Metazoa; Platyhelminthes; Trematoda; Plagiorchiida; Troglotrematidae
Description: 16S ribosomal RNA
Rfam family: Bacterial large subunit ribosomal RNA (bases 626-976)
Source: RNAcentral
GAUUUUGAGGUCGUGAACAGUUUUUGUGUUUAGUGGUUGUCGUACCUUUUGCAUCAUGAUUCUUCGAAAGGAGGCUGGUUAUUUCGGUGUCUCGAAAGAUAGCGAUUUAGGUUUGUCUUGUUUUUAGAACUUAGGGAUUAGCGGGUAGCUAAGCUUUAAAGAUGGAUCUAGGAGUGAUAAAUAAGACGCGUUAUCUUAUAGCUAGUUGUUGAGUAUUUUUUUGUGUUAGUCUUGUUGCUUAGAUGUGAUGGGGCGGUUAAGAGAGUUUAUGAGGAUAUUGUGGAGAUGGGUUAGAGGUACCCUCUCUUAGUUUCGUGUUAUAACGAUUAUUUUGUCUUUGUUUUCUUUAGUUUGAUGCUCGACCUUCUGAAUGUUUAUUUUGAGUGUGAGGGAAUAAGUAGUUUGAAUGGUUUCUUUUUUUCUCGAAUUUCUCCGGUCUGUUUCUCAAAAACAUUUCCAUUAUCUGAAAAUUUUUGAUGGUAGUGCCUGCUCGAUGUUUUAAUAAAUGGCCGCAGUAUUUUGACUGUGCUAAGGUAGCAUAAUUAGUUGCCUUAUAAUUGAAGGAUUGUUUGAAUGGUUUGACUAGGGGAGUGGUUUAGAUAGGGGCUGUUGUUGAAAUUGGGUGGUCGGUGCAGAUCCCGGCGGUUUUUAAUUAGACGGAAAGACCCCGAGAGCUUUAACAGGUUUGUUUACUUGGGGCAAGGGCAUAUGCUUUAUAUGUUUUUGGAUCCUUAGGGAAAAAGGUUUAGUUACCUCGGGGAUAACUAGGUGAGAGGCGAGGAGAGAUCUUAUCGAUUCGUCUGUUUACUAUCUCGAUGUUGACUUAGGGUUAGCGUGUGGGUGUAGGAGCUUUUACGUUAUGGUCUGUUCGACCGUAAUUCCCUUCAUGAGUUGAGUUAAGACCGGCGUGAGCCAGGUCGGUUCUUAUCUUUUGUUGCUGCGGUUUAGUACGAAAGGAGCAUCCGUAGUUUAGGUU